This 143-nucleotide ribosomal RNA is filed under the name Escherichia coli. Its description in RNAcentral is "partial 23S ribosomal RNA". It matches the Rfam family "Bacterial large subunit ribosomal RNA", at positions 1 to 135 of the family's 2925-position model. Lineage: Bacteria; Pseudomonadati; Pseudomonadota; Gammaproteobacteria; Enterobacterales; Enterobacteriaceae. The record is from RNAcentral.
GUUGUGGGGUUAAGCGACUAAGCGUACACGGUGGAUGCCCUGGCAGUCAGAGGCGAUGAAGGACGUGCUAAUCUGCGAUAAGCGUCGGUAAGGUGAUAUGAACCGUUAUAACCGGCGAUUUCCGAAUGGGGAAACCCAGUGUG